GACGAACGCUGGCGGCGUGCCUAAUACAUGCAAGUAGAACGCUGAAGAGAGGAGCUUACUCUUCUUGGAUGAGUUGCGAACGGGUGAGUAACGCGUAGGUAACCUGCCUUGUAGCGGGGGAUAACUAUUGGAAACGAUAGCUAAUACCGCAUAACAAUGGAUGACACAUGUCAUUUAUUUGAAAGGGGCAAUUGCUCCACUACAAGAUGGACCUGCGUUGUAUUAGCUAGUAGGUGAGGUAAUGGCUCACCUAGGCGACGAUACAUAGCCGACCUGAGAGGGUGAUCGGCCACACUGGGACUGAGACACGGCCCAGACGCCUACGGGAGGCAGCAGUAGGGAAUCUUCGGCAAUGGGGGCAACCCUGACCGAGCAACGCCGCGUGAGUGAAGAAGGUUUUCGGAUCGUAAAGCUCUGUUGUAAGUCAAGAACGGGUGUGAGAGUGGAAAGUUCACACUGUGACGGUAGCUUACCAGAAAGGGACGGCUAACUACGUG
This 497-nucleotide ribosomal RNA is filed under the name uncultured bacterium. RNAcentral's name for it is "partial 16S ribosomal RNA". It matches the Rfam family "Bacterial small subunit ribosomal RNA", at positions 28 to 507 of the family's 1533-position model. The record is from RNAcentral.